Molecule: unclassified non-coding RNA, 270 nt
Filed under: Hevea brasiliensis (rubber tree)
Lineage: Eukaryota; Viridiplantae; Streptophyta; Magnoliopsida; Malpighiales; Euphorbiaceae
Source: RNAcentral
AUGACACCUCCAUCCCCAGUCAAAUCAACAGCAUCAUCCAUGGCUCAUAAAUCCUUCAAAGCCCGGUUCAAUGAGAGAGGAAAGAACUCGAGACGAAAAGGGGAAAUCAGGGACGAUAUACCGGAAAAAUUGCGUUUGAUACCGGUGGCCAUAGGCGUCUUGGUGAGCUCUUUUGUCUGGAAAGAGCAAAGCCGGCAUUUUGUACAUGCGAUAGGGCGUGGCAAGUGGGCUGUUGAACUGGACUGUAACUUUGGAUCCUUUGGGCUCUGG